Molecule: ribosomal RNA, 433 nt
Filed under: uncultured bacterium
Lineage: Bacteria
Description: partial 16S ribosomal RNA
Rfam family: Bacterial small subunit ribosomal RNA
Source: RNAcentral
AACGAACGCUGGCGGCAUGCCUAACACAUGCAAGUCGAACGAUGCUUUCGGGCAUAGUGGCGCACGGGUGCGUAACGCGUGGGAAUCUGCCCUUGGGUACGGAAUAACAGUGAGAAAUUGCUGCUAAUACCGGAUGAUGUCUUCGGACCAAAGAUUUAUCGCCCAGGGAUGAGCCCGCGUAGGAUUAGCUAGUUGGUGGGGUAAUGGCCUACCAAGGCGACGAUCCUUAGCUGGUCUGAGAGGAUGAUCAGCCACACUGGGACUGAGACACGGCCCAGACUCCUACGGGAGGCAGCAGUGGGGAAUAUUGGACAAUGGGCGCAAGCCUGAUCCAGCAAUGCCGCGUGAGUGAUGAAGGCCUUAGGGUUGUAAAGCUCUUUUACCCGGGAUGAUAAUGACAGUACCGGGAGAAUAAGCUCCGGCUAACUCCGUG